UACGAAGGGGGCUAGCGUUGCUCGGAAUCACUGGGCGUAAAGGGUGCGUAGGCGGGUUUUAAGUCAGAGGUGAAAUCCUGGAGCUCAACUCCAGAACUGCCUUUGAUACUGAAAGUCUUGAGUAUGGGAGAGGUGAGUGGAACUGCGAGUGUAGAGGUGAAAUUCGUAGAUAUUCGCAAGAACACCAGUGGCGAAGGCGGCUCACUGGCCCGGUACUGACGCUGAGGUGCGAAAGCGUGGGAGCAAACAGG
RNAcentral lists this ribosomal RNA (251 nucleotides) under uncultured bacterium. RNAcentral's name for it is "partial 16S ribosomal RNA". It matches the Rfam family "Bacterial small subunit ribosomal RNA", at positions 524 to 776 of the family's 1533-position model. The record is from RNAcentral.